UACGUAGGGUCCGAGCGUUGUCCGGAAUUAUUGGGCGUAAAGGGCUCGUAGGCGGUUUGUCGCGUCGGGGAGUGAAAACUCAGGGCUCAACCCUGAGCGUGCUUCCGAUACGGGCAGACUAGAGGUAUGCAGGGGAGAACGGAAUUCCUGGUGUAGCGGUGGAAUGCGCAGAUAUCAGGAGGAACACCGGUGGCGAAGGCGGUUCUCUGGGCAUUACCUGACGCUGGAGGAGCGAAAGCAUGGGGAGCGAACAGG
Molecule: ribosomal RNA, 255 nt
Filed under: uncultured bacterium
Lineage: Bacteria
Description: partial 16S ribosomal RNA
Rfam family: Bacterial small subunit ribosomal RNA
Source: RNAcentral